GUCUACAGCCAUACCACCCUGAAUGCGCCUAAUCUCAUCUGAUCUCGGAAGCUAAGCAGGGAUGGGUCUGGUUAGUACUUGGAUAGGAGACAAAGCUACAGUAAUCAAGUCUGGCUAGACCAGAGGAUGUACACU
This 135-nucleotide ribosomal RNA is filed under the name Echinops telfairi (small Madagascar hedgehog). Lineage: Eukaryota; Metazoa; Chordata; Mammalia; Afrosoricida; Tenrecidae. The record is from RNAcentral.